This 387-nucleotide ribosomal RNA is filed under the name Triticum aestivum (bread wheat). RNAcentral describes it as "partial small subunit ribosomal RNA". The record is from RNAcentral. Lineage: Eukaryota; Viridiplantae; Streptophyta; Magnoliopsida; Poales; Poaceae.
AAGCUGGCAUCUUCAUUUCAAAAAUUGAUAAAAGUGGAAAAAGGGAUGCCAGAAGAUACAAGCAUCUGGAUGUGGAUUCUAAGUCCAUGGAAAAAGCAGCACUGCGACCAGAAGCAAGCUGAGGUUUCUUAAACAUACACAAGUUGAUAGAGGUUUGGAAGAUCUACAAGUUGCUGGGGAUUUGGAAGAUCUAACAAGUUGGAGUUAUAAUAUAUAUACUCCAUCCGACCCAUAAGAUCGUUUUGCAAAACGAUCUUAUAUUAUGGGACGGGGGAGUAUGUAAUAUGUCUUGUUUAUUGAGCCUGGGGACAUUGGCAAGUUCACUUUGCUCAUUUUGAUAUUCGUUUUGACACAUCAGCCAAUGUAUGCUCAUUUUGGUUGUUUGGC